AUAUCCCCACAAUUCUUUAUUUUUUUCAUUGUGAUUGCUUACUUCGGAAUAAGAAAUCGAACCUAGGCUUUGGCAGCUAUAAGUGACAAUGGCUGGUAUUCGAAGAUCUUUUAGAUGGCCUAAUGAAAAUAAGAAGACACUGAUAAUUGCUGUUCCAAGAAGCAGUGCCGGAUUUGGAUUUACUGUUGCUUGGACAAAGCCUCCUCAAGUAGAUUUUAUCAAUGAAGG
Stegodyphus dumicola is the source of this 228-nucleotide long non-coding RNA. The record is from RefSeq and is a predicted model, not a curated record. Lineage: Eukaryota; Metazoa; Arthropoda; Arachnida; Araneae; Eresidae.